UACAGAGGGGGCAAGCGUUGUUCGGAAUUACUGGGCGUAAAGCGUGCGCAGGCGGUGAUGUAAGACAGUUGUGAAAUCCCCGGGCUCAACCUGGGAACUGCAUCUGUGACUGCAUCGCUGGAGUGCGGCAGAGGGGGAUGGAAUUCCGCGUGUAGCAGUGAAAUGCGUAGAUAUGCGGAGGAACACCGAUGGCGAAGGCAAUCCCCUGGACCUGUACUGACGCUCAUGCACGAAAGCGUGGGGAGCAAACAGG
This 253-nucleotide ribosomal RNA is filed under the name uncultured bacterium. Its description in RNAcentral is "partial 16S ribosomal RNA". It matches the Rfam family "Bacterial small subunit ribosomal RNA", at positions 524 to 776 of the family's 1533-position model. The record is from RNAcentral.